This 253-nucleotide ribosomal RNA is filed under the name uncultured bacterium. Its description in RNAcentral is "partial 16S ribosomal RNA". It matches the Rfam family "Bacterial small subunit ribosomal RNA", at positions 524 to 776 of the family's 1533-position model. The record is from RNAcentral.
UACGUAGGUGGCAAGCGUUGUCCGGAUUUAUUGGGUUUAAAGGGUGCGUAGGCGGCUUUGUAAGUCAGUGGUGAAAUAUGGCAGCUCAACUGUCAGGGUGCCAUUGAUACUGCGGAGCUUGAGUACAGAUGAGGUAGGCGGAAUUGAUGGUGUAGCGGUGAAAUGCUUAGAUAUCGUCAAGAACACCGAUAGCGAAGGCAGCUUACUGGGCUGUAACUGACGCUGAGGCACGAAAGUGUGGGGAUCAAACAGG